This 597-nucleotide ribosomal RNA is filed under the name Staphylococcus aureus. Its description in RNAcentral is "partial 23S ribosomal RNA". It matches the Rfam family "Bacterial large subunit ribosomal RNA", at positions 705 to 1305 of the family's 2925-position model. Lineage: Bacteria; Bacillati; Bacillota; Bacilli; Caryophanales; Staphylococcaceae. The record is from RNAcentral.
GGUCGUAGACCCGAAACCAGGUGAUCUACCCUUGGUCAGGUUGAAGUUCAGGUAACACUGAAUGGAGGACCGAACCGACUUACGUUGAAAAGUGAGCGGAUGAACUGAGGGUAGCGGAGAAAUUCCAAUCGAACCUGGAGAUAGCUGGUUCUCUCCGAAAUAGCUUUAGGGCUAGCCUCAAGUGAUGAUUAUUGGAGGUAGAGCACUGUUUGGACGAGGGGCCCCUCUCGGGUUACCGAAUUCAGACAAACUCCGAAUGCCAAUUAAUUUAACUUGGGAGUCAGAACAUGGGUGAUAAGGUCCGUGUUCGAAAGGGAAACAGCCCAGACCACCAGCUAAGGUCCCAAAAUAUAUGUUAAGUGGAAAAGGAUGUGGCGUUGCCCAGACAACUAGGAUGUUGGCUUAGAAGCAGCCAUCAUUUAAAGAGUGCGUAAUAGCUCACUAGUCGAGUGACACUGCGCCGAAAAUGUACCGGGGCUAAACAUAUUACCGAAGCUGUGGAUUGUCCUUUGGACAAUGGUAGGAGAGCGUUCUAAGGGCGUUGAAGCAUGAUCGUAAGGACAUGUGGAGCGCUUAGAAGUGAGAAUGCCGGUGUGA